Molecule: ribosomal RNA, 427 nt
Filed under: uncultured bacterium
Lineage: Bacteria
Description: partial 16S ribosomal RNA
Rfam family: Bacterial small subunit ribosomal RNA
Source: RNAcentral
UGGGGAAUAUUGCACAAUGGGCGCAAGCCUGAUGCAGCCAUGCCGCGUGUAUGAAGAAGGCCUUCGGGUUGUAAAGUACUUUCAGCGAGGAGGAAGGCGUUGUGGUUAAUAACCGCAACGAUUGACGUUACUCGCAGAAGAAGCACCGGCUAACUCCGUGCCAGCAGCCGCGGUAAUACGGAGGGUGCAAGCGUUAAUCGGAAUUACUGGGCGUAAAGCGCACGCAGGCGGUCUGUCAAGUCGGAUGUGAAAUCCCCGGGCUCAACCUGGGAACUGCAUCCGAAACUGGCAGGCUAGAGUCUUGUAGAGGGGGGUAGAAUUCCAGGUGUAGCGGUGAAAUGCGUAGGGAUCUGGAGGAAUACCGGUGGCGAAGGCGGCCCCCUGGACAAAGACUGACGCUCAGGUGCGAAAGCGUGGGGAGCAAACA